GGAGACGUGCGAGAGCGGACUAAUCGGCACGCCUGGAGAGCGUGUGACCCUUCGGGGUCCAAGGGUUCGAAUCCCUUCGUCUCCG
Molecule: transfer RNA, 85 nt
Filed under: Actinomycetota bacterium
Lineage: Bacteria; Bacillati; Actinomycetota
Description: tRNA-Ser
Rfam family: tRNA
About the family: Transfer RNA (tRNA) molecules are approximately 80 nucleotides in length. Their secondary structure includes four short double-helical elements and three loops (D, anti-codon, and T loops).
Source: RNAcentral